GAUUAAGUUAUUAAGGGCGCACGGUGGAUGCCUUGGCACUAGAAGCCGAUGAAGGACGUUACUAACGACGAUAUGCUUUGGGGAGCUGUAAGUAAGCUUUGAUCCAGAGAUUUCCGAAUGGGGAAACCCAGCAUGAGUUAUGUCAUGUUAUCGAUAUGUGAAUACAUAGCAUAUCAGAAGGCACACCCGGAGAACUGAAACAUCUUAGUACCCGGAGGAAGAGAAAGAAAAUUCGAUUCCCUUAGUAGCGGCGAGCGAAACGGGAAGAGCCCAAACCAACAAGCUUGCUUGUUGGGGUUGUAGGACACUCUAUACGGAGUUACAAAGGACGACAUUAGACGAAUCAUCUGGAAAGAUGAAUCAAAGAAGGUAAUAAUCCUGUAGUCGAAAAUGUUGUCUCUCUUGAGUGGAUCCUGAGUACGACGGAGCACGUGAAAUUCCGUCGGAAUCUGGGAGGACCAUCUCCUAAGGCUAAAUACUCUCUAGUGACCGAUAGUGAACCAGUACCGUGAGGGAAAGGUGAAAAGCACCCCGGAAGGGGAGUGAAAUAGAACCUGAAACCGUGUGCUUACAAGUAGUCAGAGCCCGUUAAUGGGUGAUGGCGUGCCUUUUGUAGAAUGAACCGGCGAGUUACGAUUUGAUGCAAGGUUAAGCAGUAAAUGUGGAGCCGUAGCGAAAGCGAGUCUGAAUAGGGCGUUUAGUAUUUGGUCGUAGACCCGAAACCAGGUGAUCUACCCUUGGUCAGGUUGAAGUUCAGGUAACACUGAAUGGAGGACCGAACCGACUUACGUUGAAAAGUGAGCGGAUGAACUGAGGGUAGCGGAGAAAUUCCAAUCGAACCUGGAGAUAGCUGGUUCUCUCCGAAAUAGCUUUAGGGCUAGCCUCAAGUGAUGAUUAUUGGAGGUAGAGCACUGUUUGGACGAGGGGCCCCUCUCGGGUUACCGAAUUCAGACAAACUCCGAAUGCCAAUUAAUUUAACUUGGGAGUCAGAACAUGGGUGAUAAGGUCCGUGUUCGAAAGGGAAACAGCCCAGACCACCAGCUAAGGUCCCAAAAUAUAUGUUAAGUGGAAAAGGAUGUGGCGUUGCCCAGACAACUAGGAUGUUGGCUUAGAAGCAGCCAUCAUUUAAAGAGUGCGUAAUAGCUCACUAGUCGAGUGACACUGCGCCGAAAAUGUACCGGGGCUAAACAUAUUACCGAAGCUGUGGAUUGUCCUUUGGACAAUGGUAGGAGAGCGUUCUAAGGGCGUUGAA
Molecule: ribosomal RNA, 1252 nt
Filed under: Staphylococcus aureus
Lineage: Bacteria; Bacillati; Bacillota; Bacilli; Caryophanales; Staphylococcaceae
Description: partial 23S ribosomal RNA
Rfam family: Bacterial large subunit ribosomal RNA
Source: RNAcentral